CCAUGUUCAUCCAAGAAAAACAUCUCGAAUAUGAAUAUGUUCGUCCCCGCCUCUCAGAACUUGGGCCUUUGUGCGAGGCCCCACACAAACUUCAUCGUAUGAAAAAUGGACGAUGAACUGAAGGGUCGAUCAGUGUUAGCCCUAACUAUCGCCAACCAUCGGGCCUCCUCUCUAAAUUGUUAUGCCUGGUCCUUUCCGAUAACAACAUCGUCCAAUUCUUCAUCUAAUAGCUCCAUGUUCUUCAACAUCUCCUCAAGGUCCUCCUCAUCCUUUCGUCCCGAUCACGGUGAUGAUCCCAUCUCCGCCGCCAUCACGCCUAGAUAGGUCGCCUAGGCUUCCCUUGCCGUGAUUGGCAACGGCGGCUCGAUUAAUCUCCUCAGAGUCACGAAUCCUCCCGCCGACAAAUGAGAUCGCCAGCGGAGAUAAGGGGAACCAUAAACGAGAGGGUAUUUUUUUGGGUGGAUUAAAAAACAUGUCUUAAUUAUUAUUUUUGUGACAAACAUAUCUUAAAUGCAAAGGCUGAAAAUGAAAACAAGUCUGGACAACCUGUUGGGCCGACCCAUCAACCGUAAGGUGUGUGUGUAGCCGAGGGAAAUCCCUAUUUGACGCUCUAUGUGUCGCCUUGUCAGGGCUUCGCA
RNAcentral lists this long non-coding RNA (638 nucleotides) under Hordeum vulgare. Its description in RNAcentral is "long non-coding RNA (HVUL_LNC021168)". Lineage: Eukaryota; Viridiplantae; Streptophyta; Magnoliopsida; Poales; Poaceae. The record is from RNAcentral.